Molecule: ribosomal RNA, 253 nt
Filed under: uncultured bacterium
Lineage: Bacteria
Description: partial 16S ribosomal RNA
Rfam family: Bacterial small subunit ribosomal RNA
Source: RNAcentral
GACGUAGGGCGCGAGCGUUGUCCGGAUUUAUUGGGCGUAAAGAGCUCGUAGGCGGCUUGUCGCGUCGACUGUGAAAACCCACGGCUUAACUGUGGGCUUGCAGUCGAUACGGGCAGGCUAGAGUUCGGUAGGGGAGACUGGAAUUCCUGGUGUAGCGGUGAAAUGCGCAGAUAUCAGGAGGAACACCGGUGGCGAAGGCGGGUCUCUGGGCCGAUACUGACGCUGAGGAGCGAAAGCGUGGGGAGCGAACAGG